This 39133-nucleotide long non-coding RNA is filed under the name Linum usitatissimum (flax). Its description in RNAcentral is "long non-coding RNA (LUSI_LNC007168)". The record is from RNAcentral. Lineage: Eukaryota; Viridiplantae; Streptophyta; Magnoliopsida; Malpighiales; Linaceae.
UUUUUUUUUUUUGGUACCGAAAUCUGUCCUCCUCUUCAUUCUUCUGCCCCGUUCAGCUCGACGAUCGUUGAAUCUUCCACUUCCGGAACACUAUCUCAAUUUCGAUCUCUCACCUUCUCUUCCUGAUACGGGAGUUCCAUUUGAUUUCGUUUUUGGAGCUCGACUGAUUCUGUUGUGGCGUGGAAGGAAUUUAGGUGUUUACUCCUUCCGAUAAUGGAUUCCAGCAGGAGAGCGGUUGAGUCGUACUGGAGAUCCAGGAUGAUCGACGGGGCGACUUCUGACGAAGAUAAGGUUGCUCCCGUCUACAAAUUGGAAGAGAUUUGUGAUCUCUUGCGCUCUUCUCAUGUUAGUAUCGUCAAGGAGGUGUCCGAUUUCAUUUUGAAGAGGCUCGAUCAUAAGAGUCCCGUUGUUAAACAGAAGGUAUUACUCAGCUCUUAGUCUUUUUUCAUUCAAUUUGGGAGAGAAUUGUUGGUUCUAGGUUUUUCUGAUAAUUCAGUUCCCUGUUUUGACAUUAGAAAGCCAUGUGACCGUUGUUUCGUUUUGCGCGAUUGAACGUGUCUGCUCUGUAAUUGAAUUGAACUUCUAGAAAUUACAUGUUCAUUGAUUGCACAACUUAUGAUUGGGAAAUGGGCAGGCUCUCAGAUUAAUAAAAUAUGCUGUGGGAAAGUCUGGAGCGGAGUUCAGGAGGGAAAUGCAAAGACAUUCUGUGGCUGUACGUCAGUUACUUCACUACAGAGGGCAGCCGGAUCCUUUGAAGGGAGAUGCCCUGAAUAAGGCCGUGAGAGAUACAGCUCAGGAUGCUAUUUCUGCAAUUUUUUCCGAGGAGAACAGUAAGCCAGCACCAGCACAACUCACUAAGCGUAUGGAAGGAUUUGGAAACACGAAUUUUGAAAUGCGAUCUGAAGAUAAGAAGUCCUUUGACUCCUUUCUUAGUGAGGUAGUUGACAUAGGAAGUGCAACUAUCAAGCAGGGACUUAGUAGCUUGACUCAAGGGAAUCCGCAAAGAAUGAAUGAUCCUGGGAACUACAGAAGCCCAAAUCUUCACCGGUCAUUGACUGAUGACCGUGAUAGUUCAGAUAGAUAUGAGCCAGUACAGUUGCGUAAUGACAACCAUGGAAGUUUUGGGGGUUCAAGAGCUUCGACUGGAGGAUCAUGGGGCCAGGAUUUAAGAUCAGCAAAUGCUACAAUAGAAAAUGGGAACUCUAGUUCCAGCAAUGCGGGGAGCAAGACUCGAGAGGAAAGGUUGCUAGAGACCAUUGUGACGUCGGGUGGUGUACGAUUACAACCUACCAGAGAUGCAAUUCAUGUUUUUCUAGUGGAAGCAGCAAAACUGGAUGCAUUGGCUUUGAGUCGAGUCCUUGAAUCCAAGCUCAAAUCUCCUUCAUGGCAGGCAUGAUUUCUUGCCUUACACAUCCUCGUUCAUAUGAUGUUUUUGUGAUCAUAGUUUUUUGUUCUCUGGAUAUUGUGUUAGAAUUUUUCAGUUGAUGUGCUUGUAUACAAUUGCUUCUUCUUUCUGUCGAAGGUGAAUAUCUCAUAUGGUCUACCUGUUCAUAUCCUCUAUUUUGGAUGCUUCACAUAUUCCCAGGUUCGCAUGAAAGCAGUUUGUGUGCUUGAGUCAGUUCUAAGAAAAAAGGAUGACGAGAAGUUUUCAAUUAUAGCUUCUUACUUCGAUGACAAUAUAGAAGCAGUGGAGAGAUGCUCUGAGUCUCCUCAAAGUUCUCUCAGUGAAAAGGCUAGGAAGGUAACUAUAAUGUAAUAAUGAACCUACUUUCUUAUGGCUGCUCUUGCAUUUUACCCAAGGCCGGAAGUAUGAGGAAUCUUAUAUCUUGACAUGCUAUGUUUGCUAGUCGCUACACACUUGUACCAUAUAGCAGAUCUGCCAUCCGACUUCGGCUGUUAAGUAAUAUAAUUCAUUUUGGAAUUGGUUCUAUAGAAUCGGAUGGCAUUUUACUACUAGUGGAGAGAUAUAUUAAUUAUUGCUCGAGGGAUAUUGUCGCUGUGAAGUUUAAUGUAAUGGAUUGGCAGAUGCUGUUUGUUAGAGACAGAAAUGAUUAGUUAAGCGGUUCUUUUUUUGUGAGAUGUUUGAAGAAGCUUCUCUUGAAUUGAAAUAACUAUCAUCACUUUUGUUUAUACUACAAAAAUGGCCUUCUAAUUUUCGCCCAUGUGAAAUUAAGUUAUGCCCAAGGAACUGAAUCCUAACGUUCAUAUAUAGGGCUUGAAAAGAUGUUUUGGUCCCAGAAUUCAUAUUAAGCCAUGUGAAUUGUUGCCUAUGGACAGGUAUUGAGCCUUUUGGAUGGUGGAAAGGCAGGUGGCAUUGCAAGUAACUCAGGGAAGUCAGUGACUGCUGUUUCUCCCGUUCAGAUUCCUGACUUAAUAGACACAAGGGAGUCGGAUGAUUUCUUGAAAGCAGAUGAUCCUACUGAAAUGUUAAAUGAUCAAGGGAUAUCAAAUGUUCCAGCAGCUUCUCCUUUCACUCACGAUUUACUGGGAGAGAGUUUGGGUUCCGGUGAGAACUCUACAGAACAAAAGAAUGAGGAUGACCCUUUUGCUGAUGUCUCGUUUCACUCGGGAGAGUCAACCGCACAAGCUUCUGAUCUCUUUUCCGGAAUGAACUUUGACCAAAAACAAAGUUCGGAUGAAAAUCAAGUAGCUGCAAACGGACCUGAGAUAUUUGAUAUAUUUGGAUCCGGUAGCACUCUGAAAAGCAGUCAAGAAAAACCAGCAGUUAAUGAUUUACUUGCUGGUAUGUCCAUUAGUGAAGGUGUGAAGCAGCAAGUGAGCUCACCAUCUAUUCAAUUUGAAGGUACAACCUCAGACCUCAGCCAACAAGUCUCGAACGAUGGUUUGAAAAACAUGGUAGGGGGAUCGCAGCUGGGCAUGAUGAAUGGAAGUAGUAUGUAUCCUUCUUCUGCAAUGCAGUAUGGUAUGCCUCCUGGCAUGAUGUUGAAUCCUGCUUUGGCUGGUCAAUCAAUACCGCUAAAUUACGGUGCUAUGGGAGGGUUCCUUACUCAGCAGCAACUUCUUGCUGCAAUGUCCAACUUCCAACAGUUGAGCAAUUUGAAUGCCCAGAAUUAUAGCCAGGGUAAUGCUAGUCAAGCAAACGGGAGCAGUUCAGCACUUCCUGACAUAUUCCAUCCGAGCUUUCCUAAUCAAAGUCCUACAUCGAUGAUGAGCAGCUCAAAGAAAGAAGAGAGCAAAGCAUUUGAUUUCAUCUCAGUGAGCUCCAAUCUUAAGACCCUGAAUUCUUUUGCGCCUCCGUUGUAAGAUGACGUAAGUUUCUGAAUCCACAUAUCGUAACUAGUGGGUGUUGUAACUUGUAAUGCAGGAGCAUGUUGCAGCGGCGCGUGAUCCAAGAAGAGUUUCGUAAGGAAGAGGGAUUCCCCUGGAACUGUGGAUUUAAAUGAAGUAGGUCGAGGAAGAAGUUUUCAAUUGGUGGCAUGACUGGAUGGGAGAAGAGGUGGUGCGGAGUGUGGACUGUCAGCAAAGCACAUAUUAGAAGAACAUAUUGUAUCGUUACGUACUGUGAUCGCUGUUGUGGUGUGUUUUUGCUUUUGGUUCUUGUUUUGUUUUUCCAGGAGUCGUAUUCUUAUGCUUUCUACCCAUUAAAUGUCUUCCUUUUUCUUUUGUCUCUUUUUGCAUAAAGUUAUAAUGUGGAAGAAACAAUCACCAACAUUUUUGUUCGUCAGUCGGGAUAUGAAUUGAAUAUUUGAGGUGGGUUGGUUACUUGAGCUUCCAGCAAGAGAUGUUCAUCACAAUCCUUCAAUGUGUAUGCUAUGUUUGAUCAACCCAAGUGUAUGAAUUUUCUUUCGUUUUUUACAAGUCGAUUGAAUCCGAAAGAAAAGAAACAAUUUAAACAAAAGACUACGAAUUAAAUGCAAAAUCAAUGGACAGACUGCAGAAACACUGUCAAAACUCUGAUUUCCAGUCAUCUCACUUCCACCUGAGUGUAAGGAUUACUUGCCAUUCAGACGCUGCUGCUUAUCAUUUUCUUCUGAAGAAGCUUCCCUCUCAUUCUCUUUUGCAGCGAACCCAAGUUCAGACAUCUCCUGCUUUGCCAUCAAGUUCCUGCGUCAACCCCAACUCACAGAUUGAAUAUCAAAAUCAUUCCUUCUACAUCGACUCAAUCCACCAAAUUCGGAACAUUCAUUCUUUUCUGAUUCCUCUCACUAACCACUUAUUAUCUAUUGUGAACUACGACCAUGCAGCCUACUUUGGUUUUUAAGGCCAAACCAAGAAACAACGGAGGUUGUACUCUUCUACAUUAACAAACAAGUUAGCAUAAUGCAAUCAACCCAAUCCAUUUGUCGCGAAUGCUUCAUAUUUUCAUUCCUUAUCCUCCUGAGGACUGACAUACCUUGGCUAUCCCCAGAUAUAAGCUAUUAGAUUAUUCAGUUCUACAUAACUUUGAUGCACAUGAUUACCUUUCCCGACAAAUUCUAGAUUCCACUACUUCACUACAGGUUCUACCCGGAUUUAUGUUUCACCUACUUCUCCUACAGCGUAGUUUUACUUCUUCCAUUUUGUUCUUCUCUAAGUUAACCUUUUCUCCAUCAUUUUCCAAACCAAAUGUAAACAAACAUCAUCUUCCCAGCUCCUACUUUCAUUGGGGAAACAACAUUGGGGCACCACAAUUCUAUACUCACUUACUGACAUGUAUCUAAAUAGAAGAUACUAAUCUUCUCUUAUUGGACGGACCAGCAUAAUAGUGUAAGAAGUAAAAUUCUUCUCAACUUUAGAGAACAAAGGCAGAGGUAGAUAAGGGUCACUCACUUUUCCAUUCGACACUCGAGGUACUUUCUUGAAAACUGCCUGCAUUUUUCUGAUAGGUGACCAGCAGAUUUUAGACAGCUGAGGUAGUCUUUCUUUUCCUGAAACACCAGAAAUCGUACUUAGCUCAAAAUGAAUUGAAAUGUCUACCUGAUGAAAACACAAAAUUCAAAAGCAGCAGCACCAGGUCACAUUCAUGCAAAUGGUCCAAAGGAAAGAUUCCUUUCUCUGGUGGCACUGGCCUCACCCCUCUAUUUCCACCAAAUGCACCACCUGUUGUAACAGAAUUUUCAUCUUCGUUUAGCAUUAUGCAAGGGAUUUGAGAAAGGAUCUUCACCAGUUUAGUACAGGUAUGAAUCAACCAUUUAUCAAAAGAGCACAUUUCAGGGAGCACAAAGGAACUGUCAGUACAUUACUAUGGCAAUGCCACAAGAAUUUGAAUUUGAAUUUGAAAAUUUUCUCUAAGAGAUACGCCAAAUCAGAAAACCGUGCUACUGAUUCGACCAAGUUUGAAGCAAAAAUUGGAUGCUCCAGUUCGGUGCAAACAAUUACACAAUUCAAAACGAAGAACAUCAAAUUAGAUAUCACUCACCAAUUUGAGGCAAGAAAGCAUGAUAAAUUUAACAAAAAAUUGAUGUCUGUAGAAGAUAACUAAUUUAGCAGGAGCAGAGAACCCCAUUGAAGAGAGAAAGAAAUAGAACCUGUACUCAUUACAAGAAAUACUUGAGAGCUGAACACGGCAAGAAAUAAUGGAUUCUGAGGAUGAAGGACGACAGAUGGUGCAAGUUGAUAAGGAGAGCUACGAAGGAAAGCUUGAACAAGAAGAAAAGGUUGAACAAGAAGAAAAGGUUGAACAAGAAGAUAAGGAGAGCUACGAAGGCAUUCCUCCGCCCCAAUUUCCGACGGUAAGCGACUAGGGAUCUGAGCGGAAACAAGUCUGAAUCGAGAUAGUGGUGAAGGGUCGAUGUUAUUAGGGAAGCGAAGCAGCGAGAUAUCUGGACGGAGAUAUGAAUAGAGACGGCGGAACUGAAAGUGACGGCGCCGGUGGUGCAGGAAGAUGGCGGUAUAGUGAAGGACAGACUUGGGAAGAAAGGCCAUACGGUGGCAGAACUGAAAAACUGAAAUGAAAAUAAAAAUUAAUGUUGUUGAAACCCUUCAGCUAUACAUCAUUAUCAAGCAGGUCCCUACACUAUGAUUAUUAACUUUUUGAACCUCCAAAUAAUAAUGAAUUAGCUAAGAUAAAAUACAAACAGCCGCAAAUAUUUCAAAGGGAGUACUAUUCGUCGCCCUAACUUCUACAAAUAAAUUGCCUUUAACAUUUCAAUUGACCAAAAUGGCUAUUUGAAAACAAUGUCGUCGCCGUUUGUCGUAAAAGAUCGAACUUAAUCCAGUAAAUCUAGUCAUAUAAGAUCAAUAUAGACUCUUCCCGUUCGACUCUUCGUGAAGACUUUCACGUGAACACCAAUCUCUACCGAUCGAAAUAUUACAAGUGACACAUAUAUGAUUGAUAUAUGCGUUGCUUUUGAUAGCUCUAGCUUCAUUUUACAAAAAGGAAGGAAACAACUAUCUUCCAACGGUAAGAGUUACUGCUGGGUUUACUAACUUUCUACAUACGAAAUGUUUGUAGCUCCAGGUUGACUUCACAAGAUCAGAGGCUAUCUCCACUUGGUAACGUAACGUCAUUACUUGCUCAAUUUCAGCGUUCAGCAUUAAUCUGGAUUAACUAUCGUGCCUUCGGUUUCUUCUUCACAGGCUCGGAUCUGCUGCCUGUUACAAAAACACAAUGAAGCAGCUUAUCCAUGAAUCAACCAGAAAGCGAAUGGAAUUUUUUUAACUAGCUGUUAGACAAACCUCUAGAUCUGGCCUUUCCUGUUGAAUCAAGCUCUUCAAGAAUCCCAAUAACUUUUCGAUCCUGAAAAAAUUACUCAUUUGACAGAAAACACAAACGAACUUGGUAAAGGAGCAAACACCAGAUGAAAGGUUUUAUUCACCCUAAAAGCAUGUUAUAGGUAAAGGAGUGUCAAAUGAAAUGCAAAUGAGGUUGGUUAGGUAUUAGGAUAGCGGACGAACCCCAUCAUAAACUGGUGAUUGGUUGCGCCAGAAUUCUAAGGUAGGCAUGAGCAGUCUCCCUGCAAAUGCAUCGUCAAAAGAAUGAAAUGGUUAACCAACUGAAGCACCCAAACCAGCAUUGAUAAUAAACUACUAAUAACGAACUUAGCCAAAAGAGCAUGUUAAAAUACAGAGAAACAGAGAUAAAGGGGAAUAUCAGCUGCAAAAUGCGAAUGACAACAACGAUCAUCACUUCACUUGAGCAGAUUCAUUUUCUACCAAGAUGGCAUGACAAAACCUUAGCUUUUAGUCUGAAUUUACACACAGAUAGGCCAAGCAUAUUGAAGUCAAAAGGGUACUCGACAGCAAACAGAUGGAUAAAACAGCCACCUGAUCUCGAUCUUUUAAGAUUCAAGGAUUCCGGAGAACGGAGACAAGAACGUGUCUUUCCUUCUGCUGUGUUUGGACUAACCUACAUAGAGCAACCAGAUGGAACAUUACACGGUGAAUGGGGCACAGCAAUAUAACAAAUUACUGAUUUAACUUCACAUCAAUGAGUUCCAACCAGCACCGGAAGCAAUAUGUUUAGUGGACAGCAACCCUUCAUGCAAACGAGGAGCAAUCACCAAUCAGCAAAACUAUAACAAACCACCAACAAACUUCUUAUAUCAACUUACUGGGGUUUCAAAAUGAAUUCUUUUUUUAGCUUUCUUUACACCAGAACCUCCAUCUGUAUUGUUGAUUAUGUUUGCAGUCUCUGAUGUUUUGUUGGUCCUUCUUGAUCUACUCACUUUUGUUUGCUGCCCAGCUCCAUCUUUCUUCCCUUCGUCAUGCACCAUGGUGGAUUCCGAACGUAACUUUUUGUUUCGCGUCACUGUAGAUCCUGCUGCAGUAUUUUGGUCAAAUUUUGACACAUUCAGGUGACCCAUAUCCCGUUCAUUAAUUGUCGAUAAGGGGGGAGUUUGAUGCACAGCUCCAUCUAGUUUCCCUUCAUCAAGAGGCUUUGUGGAUUUUGAUGCUAACUUCUUGUUUCCCUUCACUUUAGACCGAGAUGCACUCUUUUGGUUAGAUUUUGAUACAUUCAGAUUAACCACAUUGUCUCUUCCAUUAUCAAUGACUUCUUCCAAGGAACAAAGGUUGAGGGCUGGAACUCCAUUGACAGAAGGAAACUUGCUGUUUGACUUCCAGAUGACAGGAGUUUGAUUCACAGCUUCAUCUAGUUUCCCUUCAUCAAGCGGUUUGGUGGAUUCUGACGCUAACUUCUUGGUUUUCUUCACUUUAGACCGAGAUGCAGUCCUUUGGUUAGACUUUGAUACAUUCAGAUGACCCACAUGGUCUCUCCCAUUACCAAUAACUUCUUCCGAGGAACAAAGGUUGAGGGCUGCAACUCCAUUGACAGAAGAAAUCUUGAUGUUUGACUUCCUGGGAGGAGUUUGAUGCACAGUUCCAUCUAGUUUCCCUUCAUCAAGCAGCUUGGUCGAUUUAGACGCUGACUUCUUGUUUCGCUUAACUUGAGACCUCUUUUGGUUAGAUGUCGAUAAAUAUAAAUGAACCACAUUGUCUUUUCCAUUACCAAUGACUUCUUCCAAGGAACAACGGUUGAGGGCUGCAACUUCAUUGACAGAAGGAACGUUGCUGUUUGACUUCCUGAUGGGAAGAGUUUGAUGCACAGUUUCAUCUAGUUUCCCUUCAUCAAGCGGCUUGGUCAAUUCUGCCGCUAACUUCUUGUUUUUCUUUACUUGAGACCGAGUCUUUUGGUUAGAUGUCGAUACAUUCAGCUGAACCACAUUGUCUCUUCCAUCACCAAUGAUUUUUUCUGAGGAACAAUAGUUGAGGGCUACAACCCCAUUGACAGAAGGAACCUUACUGUUGGAAUUCCAGGUCGGCCUCUUCUCACCUGCUGUGUUAGUUUCUAAGUUCCCGGUUCUUACAGGAGAAUCAACAAUAUAGCUUGUAUUUGCUCUUCCGUCUGCUGCCACAUCCUGAAGGGAACUAGCAGAUGUUGUGUGAAAACUUGGUGAAGAUGGAAAAUCCCUUGAGCCAUCAUGAGAGACACCCUCAUAGAAUUCAACAGCAUUUAAGCUUGUGUGGCCUUCAUUUCCUUCUUCUGGAAGCUUUAAAGGACCUUGAGGUGAGGAAUCGUCUUCCACGUUCACUUCUUCGCAGGCAGAACUUCCAACAUCAGACAAGUCUUUUUCAGCAAGUGGAUUAGAUACUGCAGCAGUAGAUUCUAUACCUGCAAAUUAACCAAAAUUCAAGAGCUAAAAUAACCUUUAGUUACAUCUUCUAAAACACCAGAUCCAGAUUUCAGUGAACCCUACCAAUCUUAUGAAUUGUGUCUGCAUAUGUUUUCACCCGAUCAGCUUCACUGUUAGCUGCAACUUCACACCACCUCUUUUCACAUUGUUUCCAGUAAAAAGGAAAUCCCAAGACGAAAUGAUCAAAGAUCUGCCAAGAGUGAGAGCAAAAAAAGCAUUCAAAAGGGAAAUCAAAGUUCAAACCUAAAACCCCAUAAAUCGGCCAUCAUCAAACUUGUUACAAUUCCAUGGCCAUAUAAUUACCUCAUAAUUACAAUACAACUAACAAUACCUCAGGAGGGAAUCCGUUUUCAAGGGUGCGAGUCUUGUUUAUGUCACCAUUGAUGAGCACAGUAACAGCAUCAGAUGUCUCGAUUGUGAGGAUAUCGGGCCUUUUGAUCACCGGUGCCGAGUGAAAUACCCUCGGAAUUCUUUGGCUGCAGAGUGGAAAAUAAGCGAAAACCACAGAGGAGAGAAGGGAGGAAACAAGAGGAUGAAAGAAAUAAGGGUUUUACUCGCUGGGAAUGUAUCCUGCAACUCCAAGACUCUUUCCAUUGCAAUUGUUGUCGGAUUUGAUCAGCCACCAUUCUUCCAACGUCACCUUUCAAAGAAGGAACAGAAAAACCAAGGAGUAUCGUAUGUCAGAUGGCUAAGAGCACUUGACGGCGUAGAAUCAGGGUUUCAUAGGCUCUUAACUGUGUUCUCGAAGUGAGACGAUAAGCCACUGGUGGAGGUGUUGCGACGGUUGAGAGGAGAAGCAUCCAUGGAAACUUGGGGAUCGACCAUCGACGACCGAUUGAAGUGGAACUUGAGGCGACGACCGACGGGGAGCCUUUUUAUUUUCCGUUAUCAAAUUUCCUUUUAUUUCUCUACGGGCGGAUAUUUGGCGCUCGAAAUGCGACGCCCGGCCGUAAUCAACGGUGUGAAUCACGUUUAUCUUCUUUUCUUUUGGUGUAUUUGUCAUUUUGAAUAAUUAAUUUGUCUUAAAAACAACACUUUAACCUAUUCCAUAUUAGAAAAAUUACAAAACUUUACAUAAGACGAAUGACCAAACCAAUCAUUACAAAGCAAGUUAAGAACAACACUCUGUAUAAGAGAAAAUAAAUAUUAUAGUAAUGUCCAUUUUAUAAAAAUUUGUAUUAUUAAUUUAUAAUAAAAUUGUGCUAUUUGACUCGAUCAAAAUAAUAUAUCUAUUAUUAUAAGCAUGUCUCUAGCCAAACUCCUAAACUUAUAAAACAUGAGCUUUGAAACACCCCAACUCCCAACUAGAUAAACUUACAAAUAUAUGAAUUGCUAAAUUUUGGGGCAAAAUUGUAUUUAUGGUUAUAUGUUAUUAUUGGUACUACAAAUUUACUUACCGUAAAUACAUCUAAAUUUUGUAGAGUUAUGUCAUUAGACAUUUUGAAAAUAGUUUUGAAAUUCCCCCGACAAAGCUCUGUGUAAUGGUUUCAAAAUCAAAUUUUGUACUAAUCAUUCACUAAUCUUUAAAGAAAUACUUAUCUCAUCCACAAUCCUUAUUGAAAUUUAAACUCAAAAUUUUCGUAUUGAAUUAUCAUAAAAUAAUAUUAAAAAAAUUAUAAAUCUGUUAAUAUUUAGCAAAUUUUUUAUAGUUGAAAUAAUUAUAAAUUUCGAAAGAACUAAAAUUAAAUAUUAAAAUCUCAUUCUGCAUGAAGGCAAACGAACGGAUGAACAUACACAUACACUCUCCGCCGUUGAAUACAAAACAUAUGAAGACAAACAUGAAGACAAAAGUAGCAUCGUUUCUGGCUUCUUCUUGGAAUAUGUCACAAUCAGUCUGACUCAGAAAUUGGGUUGAAAAGAAAGAGAGUUGUCUACUUUAUAAUCACCAGUAAGCAACCAAAUUGCGUUGUGACAAAAUCUAAAACGUUUUCCAAAUCAGAACAGCGUGCAACCAAAUAAUUGGAGCUCCUCAUUCCUGGGACACCACCAACCUAUUACAAAAAUGCUAAUUAAACACACUAUUAUUAAUUAGUUCAUCAUAUUUUGUAUAGAGUUUUGAAAGUAGAGAAAAUAUGAGAACGGAGAAAAUAUAAAAGAGUGUUCUCACAAUAUAUAAAAUAGAGGCAAUUGAAAAUUUUAGGUUUUUGAAAUACACAAAUUUAACAUAAUUAAUCAUCAAACAAACAAGUAUAUAUCAGAAUAUACCAAAUUUCUCAAAAACACACACCAACUUUCCCCUAUAUCAAACGACCUCUACGCCAUAUUCAUGGGAAAUGGUUAAUUACUAAUCAAGAUUGAAUUUUUAAGUAGAGAUUGGGUUGCGCGAAUUACAAAUAAUUUGAUCCAUCGUAAUAGUCUAGCUCAUAAAUUAUUGUGGCGGGCCAACACCAAAAUAAAUAUCACAUCAUCUUAACUACCAAUUAUACUACACACGGAACCAAAAUGUUGGCCAUUAUCAUGUACAUAUUAUUGGGGAUUAUACUCAAAUUUUAGGCCAUAUUUAAUUUUGGUAUUUUGGAUAAAAUGGUUGUUUUUUUAAGAUUUCCUAUUUUUUAGAUAAAGCAAAAGUGAAACUUGUGCAUUUAAGUUUCAAAAUACCAAAAUCAAAACUCAACAAAAAAUAAUGAGUUUCGUGAUUUCUCAAAAUGUAAUUUGACUUUUUUUUUAACCCCUUGUUUUUCAUUGACUUUUUUUUUAACCCCUUGAUUUUCAUUAUCAACAUACCGACACCAUCACUUAUUAAUUGAAUUAACGGAUUUCCAACCUACACAAAAGCAUGGUACCAUUGUAAAAAUCAUAUCCAAUACCCGUGAAAAAAUUGGAGAAUUCAUCCGUAUAAGUUUUCAAACAUAAUCGAGAUUCCCAUCUCUAAACUUAAAAUGUUUUUUAAUUAUGAUUGUAAUAGAGAACCAUCAAAAACCAAAUAAAUAAACGAAUACGAUAUAAACUUUAUUAUUCUAAAAAUUAUAUAAAACUAAUAUCACUCGAAACUAAAACUAUAAUAAAUGAAGAACAAAUAUUAACUAUUUGCACCAAAAUUAAACCGUCCCCAAGCCCAAAUUGAAUGCUGAUGUUACAUUUGUCGGAAAACCUCUGCCCUGUGCUUGAAAGGAUUAGGUUACAAUGUUUUGGCCAAAAGAAAGAGAUUAGGUUGUAGAAAUUAGAAAUAAUUUGAGAAAAAAACUUAAUUAAAAAAAGAUAGUUAGGCAAAAGAAAAGAGUUGGUCGCGGCCUAUCCGGUCUGGUCAGGUUCAUACCACACGUGAGCAAAAAAUAAAUCAUUGGGGAAGAAAAUAAUAUAAUCCAAUUCUCCUCAACCCAAACCUUCAACAACACAACAAUAAUAACACACUUUUCUCCCUUCUUUGCCGCUUCUUCUUUCAGAUUAGAUCUCUUCUUCUUCUUCUUCUUCUUCUUAAUCGAAAAAUAUUUCUCUCGCGUCUUCUUGCGUGUUUCGAUAUUAAAUUCCCAAUUGUAGCUACCUGUCUUUGUUGUUAUAUUGCCUCUGGAGGGUUUCUUGAAUCCAAUGGAGAAGAAGGUGGUGGUCACAGUGGUCUGUGUCGCGGCCGUCGCCGGCGUUGUUGGCGCCGGACUGGUUCUCCGCAAGAAGAUGCAGAAAGACGGCAAAUGGGGGCGGGCGAUGGAGAUUGUCAAGGAGCUUGAAGAAAAAUGUAGCACCCCAACUGCCAAGCUCAAGCAGGUCGCAGAUGCCAUGGUCGUAGAGAUGCAUGCCGGUCUUGCCUCUGAAGGCGGAAGCAAGCUCAAGAUGCUUAUCAGCUACGUCGACAAUUUGCCCACCGGGUAUUAAUUCCCAAUUCCUUUUCUUUUUUAUUUUCCCCGAUUCCCCAAGAUCCGAUUUUUGAAUCUGAGAAUUUUCGUAGAUCCACCAAUGACUCGAUUCUUGAUUAUAUAGAUUCGUUGUUUUGGCUGAUGGUUCUUUUCGUAAGAACUGAUUAGAUGAGAAUAUCCGUUUGUGUUUCAAUGACGUGUUUUCAUUUAUAUAUAUAUAUAUAUACCAUGUUGCUCUUUCUCUUUUGAGUGAAGGAAAGACAUUUUACACAAACUUUACUGAUUCUCCUCAUUGUUGUUAUAAAAAAAUUUAGUUAAGAAGCUCGGUUGGUAGGUUAAUUUUGUGUUCUUGUUCUAGUGAUGAGUCAGGGCUGUAUUAUGCUUUGGAUCUUGGAGGAACAAAUUUCCGUGUGCUGAGGGUGCAUUUAGGUGGCCGAAAUGGUGGACUUGUUAAUCAGGAGUUUGCUGAGGUUCCGAUCCCUCCUGAAUUGAUGACUGGAGCUUCUGAUGUAAGUGUUGUUUUCAUAAUCAGCUCCUUCUUUAUAGUAUUAUGGCGUAUCAGGAUUUGGUAAUCAGUAAUCUGGUACAAUUGUUUCAGGCACUUUUCGAUUAUAUUGCAGCCGAGCUUACAAAAUUCGUUGCUGAAGAAGGCGAAGAGCAUGAGCUUCCACCGGGGAGAAAGCGAGAGUUAGGUUUUACGUUUUCGUUCCCCGUUAAUCAAACAUCCAUUGCUUCUGGGACUCUUGUUCGGUGGACAAAAGGGUUCUCGAUCGAUGAACUGGUUAGUCUUACUUUGUUGUGCUAUGUUUGUUCUCUGAUAUGUUUUAUCUAACACAAGCCGGAUUCCUGGACGAUAGGUUGGCCAAGAUGUUGUUACAGAAUUGACCAAAGCCAUGAAGAGGCAAAAUCUUGAAAUGCAUGUGUCAGCUCUGGUAAUUCUUCGCAUUCCUUACCUGUCUUAUUGUCUCAUAGCUGUGAUUUUGAUGUUGGUGGUCUUCCUGGUAGGUGAAUGAUACAGUGGGAACACUAGCUGGAGGGAGAUACACCAACAAAGAUGUUGAUGCUGCUGUUAUCUUGGGUACAGGAACAAAUGCUGCUUAUGUUGAGCGAGCUCAAGCAAUACCAAAAUGGCAUGGUGCACUACCUAAAUCAGGAGAAAUGGUUCGAAGACUUUUUUGAUGCUGUUGUAGGAGCAUGAUUGUUGAUAAAAGUAGAUUCCGUGAAUAUGUUGCUUUUGUCCGAAUGUAGGUUAUCAAUAUGGAGUGGGGCAAUUUUAAGUCGUCACAUCUUCCUAUUACUGAGUAUGAUAAUGCACUCGAUGUUGAGAGCUUAAACCCUGGUGAACAGGUAUUUAACAGUUGUCUUCUACUUACUGCCUUUCGUGUGUUAUGUGAUGUAUUAAUCAUGUAAUUUGUUAUGCAGAUUUUUGAGAAGAUUAUUUCUGGCAUGUAUUUGGGAGAAAUAGUACGCAGAGUUCUCCUAAAGAUGGCCGAAGAAGCUUCCUUUUUUGGUGAUACGGUGCCUUCGAAACUCAAAAUCCCUUUUGUGCUGAGGUAACUACUGUGGUCCAAACACUUCUUGAGAUUUCUUUUGAUAUUUCAACUUUGUUAUUAUAUUUACCCUGGUAACUAUCAUCAUCAUACAGGACGCCUGAUAUGUCAGCAAUGCACCACGACACAUCCGCAGAUCUCAAAGUUGUAGCAACUAAAUUGAAGGACAUUCUGGAGGUAUCUUCUACAAUCUGGUUUGGAUGUUUUUAUGGUCUGAGCACUAUAUGCUUCUGUCCCAAUUGUACUGUUGUGUGAUUUUAAAGAAACCCUGAUUUUGGGCCACAGUAAGUAUGCAACCGGCUUGCUUGUAUUGGCACAAGACUAUUAACAGAACUUCAUAAGAAAAGAGCUCAAGCAAUACCAAAAUGGCAUGGGGCACUACCUAAAUCAGGAGAAAUGGUUAGAAGAAUUUUCCAAUGCUGUUGUUUAUACAUGAUUGAUUGAUGAUAAAAGUAGAUUCCUUGAAUAUGUUGUUUUGUGCUAAUGUAGGUUAUCAAUAUGGAGUGGGGCAAUUUUAAGUCGUCACAUCUUCCUAUUACUGAGUAUGAUAAUGCACUCGAUGUUCAGAGCUUAAACCCUGGUGAACAGGUAAUUGAAAUUAUACUUACUGCUUACUGCUUUCAUGUGUUAUGUGAUCUGUUAAUCCUGUAAUUUGUUAUGCAGAUUUUUGAGAAGAUUAUUUCUGGCAUGUAUUUGGGAGAAAUAGUACGCAGAGUUCUCCUAAAGAUGGCCGAAGAAGCUUCCUUUUUUGGUGAUACAGUGCCUUCAAAACUCAAAAUCCCUUUUGUGCUGAGGUAACUACUGUGGUCCAAACACUUCUUGAGAUUUCUUUUGAUAUUUCAACUUUGUUAUUAUAUUUACCCUGGUAACUAUCAUCAUCAUACAGGACGCCUGAUAUGUCAGCAAUGCACCACGACACAUCCGCAGAUCUCAAAGUUGUAGCAACUAAAUUGAAGGACAUUCUGGAGGUAUCUUCUACAAUCUGGUCUCAAUGGUUGUAUGUUUUAAGCAUUUCCCACAUUCCAUCGUUUGAGCACUCUAUGCUUCUGUCCCAAUUUGGAUUGUUGUUAGGGGCACAACAUAAUGAACAGAAGUCCAUGAGAAACUGCAAUGCUUAUCUCCAGGCUUUAGUCGCUAUAAAAUUGUUCUGUUAUGUAAAUGUUUUGCAAUGUUCCUUGCAGAUACCGAAUACAUCGUUGAAAGCGAGAAAGGUGAUCGUUGAGGUAUGCAACAUAAUUGCGACGCGUGGAGCUCGUCUUGCUGCUGCUGGAGUGGUAGCCAUCUUGAGAAAGAUGGGGAAAGACACAAUGAAGGAAGGAGGAGAAGUAGGGAAAACGGUGGUGGCGAUGGAUGGUGGUUUGUAUGAGCACUACAAUGAGUAUAGCAAGUGCUUAGAGAUCACCCUUCCAGAAUUGGUAGGCGAGCAAGUAUCUAAAACCGUACAGAUCGUGCAUGCCAACGAUGGAUCGGGGAUUGGAGCCGCCCUGCUUGCUGCCUCACAUUCACAGUAUCUUUGAGCUGAAGACACCCAUCUCGAUCAGUUUUCUGCCUUCUUUUCUUGAGAAGACUCAUAAUGUUCGUUGGGAAAAAACUAAAUUCCUGGGUUUUAAACUUUGGUCUCUAAUUUGCAACUUUGAUAUUGUUCGAUUGGUGGUAUAUAGGAAUAUUUAGACAGCUGGUACUGAACUCUGCAGUGCUGGGAAGCGGUCAAGGAUUCCCCGCUUCAGGCUGCAUUGCCUCUGUUUGCAUCAUUUGCCAAUCUUCUUUGGUGAAAAUAAAGAAAAGGACAGAGGCCAUGAAAGAAAUAAAUAUCCGAGUUUGGCUACUUGUUUAUGACUGAGAGUCCUUCUUUAGUGACGAAUGAAAGAAUGAUAUCCUCCAAAUAAAAAUAAUAUACUUCCUCCUUCCAACCCAAUCUGACUGACCACUGCUACUUUAGCUAAAAAGAAAUGGAAUCCUCAUCCGCCACCACCACCACGCCGCUCCUCCGACGCGACCAGUGGUGGCUCCGGCAGCUCCGCCUUAAAACCACCCUAGCUUCCGAAAUCUCCGGAGCCGUCGGCGACUUAGGUACCUUCAUCCCGAUUGUACUAACCCUCACGCUCGUCUCCCACCUCGACCUCUCAACAACCCUAAUCUUCACCGCCCUCUACAACAUCCUCACCGGACUCCUCUUCGGCCUCCCCAUGCCCGUCCAGCCCAUGAAAUCCAUCGCCGCCGUCGCCGUUUCAGAGACCCCUCAUCUAACCACCUCUCAGAUCGCCGCCGCCGGCAUCUCCACUGCCACUACCCUCCUGUUCCUCGGAGCCACGGGUCUCAUGUCCCUCAUCUACCGCUACCUCCCUCUCCCAGUCGUCCGCGGCGUCCAGCUCUCUCAGGGACUCAGCUUCGCCUUCUCCGCAAUCAAGUACAUCCAAUUCAAUCAGGACUUCAUCUCUUCCAAAUCCACCACUCCCAGAUCCUGGCUCGGCCUCGACGGAAUCCUCCUCGCCCUCUCCGCCAUCCUCUUCCUCGUCCUCACCACCGGCUCCGGCGUCGAAACCACCUCCGAAUCGGACGAGACCACCCAAUCCCGCAGGAGACCUCUCGCAAGACGGCUUCGGAUAUUGUCUGCGAUCCCGGCGGCGCUGAUCGUGUUCUUGCUCGGAUUAGCCCUCUGCUUCAUCCGCGACCCUUCAAUUUUCGCUAACCUGAAAUUCGGGCCGUCCAGGAUCGGGGUGUUGACAAUCACGUGGGAGGAUUGGAAAAUCGGCUUCCUGAAAGGGGCGGUACCUCAGAUCCCUCUGUCAAUCCUGAACUCGGUAAUCGCAGUGUGUAAACUGUCGACAGACUUGUUUCCAGAUAGGGAACUAUCGGCGGCGAGGGUUUCUGUAUCGGUGGGGGUGAUGAAUCUGGUGGGUUGUUGGUUCGGAGCGAUGCCCGUUUGCCACGGCGCGGGAGGGUUGGCCGGGCAGUACAGGUUUGGGGCGAGGAGCGGGAUGUCGGUGGUGAUACUGGGGUUGGGAAAAUUGGUGGUUGGGUUGGUGUUCGGGAGCUCGUUCGUGAUGAUACUGAAUCAGUUUCCGAUUGGGAUUCUGGGAGUGCUGCUGCUGUUUGCUGGGAUAGAAUUGGCAAUGGCGUCCAAGGAUAUGAACAGCAAGGAGUCGUCGUUUGUGAUGCUGGUUUGUGCUGCGAUUUCGUUGACGGGGAGCAGUGCAGCUUUGGGUUUCGUUAGUGGGAUUGUGUUGUUUCUUUUGCUGAAACUAAGAAGGUCGGAGUGGGAUUUCUGGUCUGGUAAGGAUGAGGAUUUAUCUGGUGAAGACUCGUCGUGGACGUUCGUUGCUUAACAACUCUAUUUCAGUCUGUCUCACAUUCCAGUUUGGCUGUGGUUAGUACAGAGAAUGAAUCGCUGGAUACUGAAACGUAAAGAGUUCAAAUCUUGGGCUUCGGCCCUCUUGUAUGGGCUUCUGGGUGGCUGGGUCCUUAUCAAUUUGGGCCAUACAACUCAAUUAUAAAUAAAUAGAAACAGAACUGGAGCAGAGAAAACUCUGCAUUAUUUUAAUGAAGAAAUUUGUAGUAAAUAUAAGCCCUUAGUUUGGUCACUGUAAGUCUAAGCAUCUCUAAACCUCUAACCGUCCACAUCUCCAAACAUGCAAGAAGAAGAAGAAGAAGACUGUUGAAUCUCAUACAGUAUUAGUUAGGCAGUCCUCCUCCUCCUCCUCCUCAACUGUUGUUGUGUCCCAUACGAACCGAUCGACGGCUCUUCCCGACUUUUUAUUAUUAUUUAUGUUGGAUAGUUUGCAUUUGCACGAUAUGAUAUUACUUGGAAGACAAGGAUACACGUGGGUUCAAUUCAAUUCAAUGAACCUUAUCACAAGAACCCACCAACAACCCAACAUUCCUUUCACUUCCAUCAAUUUUACUAUAUUAUAAUAAUUUAUACAUGUGUUCAUUGAUCAAACCCCCACGUGCAUAUUUAUGCAUCAUGGUAUUCCUCUUUGCCGACACACACACAGAGGUAUAACACUAUACACUAGCCGCCAAGGAAAGCCUAAGUGCUCAUUUUAUUUCUACCCAAUGCAAUGAUGACUUGUUCAGAUUUCAAUUGUUUGUUUUAGAAGGCUCUAUAUUUCCAGUCCCACUUACUCACAUGCUAGAGAAGCUUUGAGCAUUUUUUAACCAAUUCCAAUCCUCAAUUCCUUCCCCCAAUCGACACCCAGAAGCAAUUUACAAUUUUUUAAAUUUUUUUUCAUACAAUCGACCCUAACCAAAAUAAGGUUCAAGCCUCCCCCACUCACGUAAGCAGGUGAAAAUGACAUUUCCAGAAGAAACUAAGCAGAAACUAGACAUAAACAUUAGAUAAAAAUAUUAUAUACUUUUGGAGCAUCAACAAGAUUUUUCAUUACAAAAGUAGCAGUAAUCAAAUAACAAGUAGGAAAAAGGAAACAAAACAAAAAACCACAGAUCCAAAGCCCCCCUGAUUGGGUUCUUUCUUCAACUCUACCUCUCAUAAAUAGUUAGUGAAGUGUUCUUCACGUCAAAGCAAACCCUCAGAAAAUCUCAUCAUGCAUUUCCAUUUCAUUUCAUCAUCUUUUCUUGCUUGUUACAUCCAACUGCACAAACAAACAAUCUGUUAUUAGUUACCCACCACAAACCAAGUUCAACCCUUUCAUUUCAAAGAAAUUGUAGCCGACAAAGAUCACUCACGGGUUAGACCAGAAACCUCAGAACUCUUCAGAACACGAAGCCUCUUCACCGUAGAUACAAACAUCCUGCAUCAUUAACAAAAUACUCAGUGUCCAAAUCCAAUGUUUAAAUAUAUGGGUUUAUGCAACUAAUUACUCAAUUCAAGGAAUCUUUGACAAGUUUAUUCCAGUGGUACUAAGCGACAAAUAGAAGCAUUUGUAUCAGCUUAAUCCGCAAGUUGAUGAUGAAUAAAACAUAUAAUAACAUGGGAAUGAACACAAAAGAUAAAAACCAAAAUUUCCCUGAUCAGAUCCAUGGGGUGAAUGAACAGAGAUGCUUACUGCCAUGGGACAUCUCCGACAAGCAUCCUGUCCCCUUCAUUAUCCUCAUAAACAAGAGUAUAUUCCCCACUCCCGUCAAAUAACCCUGUAAUUGCUCUCUCUUCCUCUUCUUGCUUCUUCACCAUUUCAUCGCAAUUGGGAUCUCUUUGAGCUAAAUGUAACAACAGAGAGAUAAAAGAGACAGAAAUCAGAUUUAACUGUGACCCUGUUUUGGCAUAACAUCUCUUUCUUUAUGCGAAUCUUGCAAGCUGAAUGAUCGAAUCUUGUCACGGAUUAUAGAUUAAACUAUGGAUGUCGCAUAAUAGAGCAGGACUACUAUUACAACCAGUUAAUAACAAAAUAAACGUUUUGUAACUCUGAUUAAUUUGGCUGUAUGCCACUAAAUUAGCAAAUUAGGCAGCAACUUGACACAUAUUACAACUAUCAAAAUCAACACCAUUUGAAUGUGAUGUGGAUCUUGUAGCUACAACAAUAAAGAAAUUGUACAAUAAACAAAUCCCCAUGACUGGUUUAAAGAGAAGACAAAACAAAAAGGUAAAGCAAGUGAAAUUAAGUCAAGGAUGGAACACUGACCUGCAAGAAGCCCUCUGAAAAGAUCACCAACAGCAACGGAGAGCCUUUGGUAGCUGUUAUAGGCUGUAAGGUCAACUUUCCUGCCUAUUGGGACACCAUCCAUAUUGAUCUUAACGAACAAUCCUUUCUUGCAUACUUGAACCGGUUUUUUAUCACUGCCAGCCUUCUUGUUCAGGUUUCCAUUUUUUGACUCAUCAACUGCUGGCUGCUGCUGCUUUGAAGAGCUGCUCCCGCUCGCCAGAUUCUUCCUAAAGGAACGAAUUGGAGGCCAACCCACCACUGGCCCAGGAGCAGUUCUGCAUUUAAAUUAUGACCAGGAGUCAACUUUUCAGACCCUAUGAAAAUGCUUUCAAAACCUAACAUCUUUCCUUUUCCCUAAACAGAAAAGGAGUAGUCUUUUUAUCAAGUUAUGCAUGUUAUAAGUUUAUUGGAGACAAAAUGAAGACAAAUCAUGUAUGUUUGUCAAGUUAUAGCAUACAAAUAAGUAGCAGCUACUGUAAUGUUGAGAUCUUCCCCAUUACGUUACCAAGUUUAUAAGAGGCAAUCAUUUAAUGAAAUGGAGCAAGGGCAUAAGAAGGUAAUAAUACUGAUGUAGAUAACAACAAAACGUUUCAUUGUUGGAAAGGACAAGACUAAAGCACAGAAAAGGAAGUGCUAGAGAAUAACCUUUUGAAAACUUGGUUUCAAACUUUUCUGUGAACCUUAGCAAAUAUAAAUGUAAAAAUAUUAUACCCCAGAGACGACAAAAGAACCACGAAGGAGAACCCACUGUAUUAACAAUAGAAAGAGAAAAGGAAAAGUGGUAAUAAGAGAAGUAAUAAUGAGACCACAAACAGCAGACUAGGAAAGUGAGUCAUGUGAGUGAAUAUCCUCUGUCAAAAAAAGUUAAGGAAACUUAUACGACGCAGAGGGAGGGAAGAGACAGAUAUAGAGAGAUGGAAAGAGAGAGGGAGAGGGUAAAAAAGCUGAGGCACCUUUUCUGAGAGGUGUUGGGGACAGCUGUAUUUGCAGGAGGAGGAGGUGAAAACGCCCUCUUUUCUGCAACACUCUGCUGCAAGUCUACUGCCCCUACUUUAGUGCAACAGGGCUGUGAGGAUUCCUUUGCCACAGUACCCAACAAGCUCUGCUGCUUGUCUGCUGCUGCUGUUUUUGUUGUUGGAAACUGAAGAAAGGAAGAUGGUGGAGCCUGCUGUUGAUUAAACCACACAGAGGAUGAUGAUGCUGCUGCUGGAGAACCUAUUUGUUGUUUCUCAUGAGAAGAAAAUUUGGUCGCUUGUUGAUGAUGGAGAUGGUGGUAAUGAUGAUUGUUGACAUAUCCCAGAGAGAGCAGGGACAACUCAUCUCUUCUUCUUUCCCUAUUUCUGGCACUGCUUGUUUUGUUUCCAAGGGACCAUUCAUUAUCAUCAUCAUCGCCAGGCAGACCAAGCCUUAGCUGGAGCUUCUUCUCCACUGGAGACAUCUCGCUGAAGACAUCUCUAAUACAUCUCCACUCUCUUUAUGACCAAUCCAUCCCCUCCUCUCUUUAGGAAUCAAAUCCAGCAACGUAGGAGGACAAGCUUCACCAUUGUUCGAUGAACAACCCUCCAUCAUAUAUCUGAUGGAAAACCCAACACUGGAAGAACAGAAAAAGACUAAACCCAGCAAAAAAAACAACAAAGAAAGUCGCUGCCUUUGACUUUGAAGCACUUGCACUGCAUCCCCACCACAAGCAACGGAAGAAGUUUUAAUCAGAUCAAUUUUUCAACUAACGUUCAUAUAAUAUAAUAAUACUCAGACAUAUCAUCAAACACCAUAUAGGCAUUAUAAAAAAACCCAUAAGAAGGAAGUAAAUAAAAAAAGAUGGGUACCUUUGGUUUCUUAACCAGCACUCAAGAACUUGUUGACCGCUACCAUAUAAUCUCUGGAAUAGAAAAAGACCAGUUCCAAGCUUGACAGAGAGAGCUGAAGAUCUGAACAAGUAGUAUAAGGAAGAAUGAAGGGGAAGAUGGUGAGAAUAAUAGGAGUUAAGAGGAGGAGGAGGGGAGUUUUGUAAUGUGUUGCUUUUGGCUUUUGGCAGGCUUAGUGGGUUUCUAUAUGUUCAUGCUUUUGGGUUGUGGUGGGACAAAGAGGGCACAUAUGAAUGGAAUGCGAGGAAUUGUUGAAGCAGGAAAAAAGAAGGGGAAUAGGGAGAUUCGUUUUAUUUAAGCUCAAGUGAAGAGAGAGGGAGAAAUGGAGGAACAAAAUGCACGCAACCCAGAAUCAGAACCAGUAGAGAAAAAGAAAAGAAAUAAAAUUUGUGGUUGUGUGGGUAGUUGGGGAUUGGUCUGCCCAAGCUAAGCUAUAAAGCUGUGAAGCAGCAGCAGCAGCUACGCUAUGCAAUGGCAAUGCUAAAUCUGUGUAGUGGUGGUGGGGGAUUUGUUUGUUCAGCUCAGGAAGCAAAGCGUGCUGUUGCUGACCCCUCUUCCUUUUUAAACACACAAAAAUUAACACAAACACUUUUUUUUUCUUUUCCAAAUAUCUUUUCCCCCUAUACUAUUCAAAAUUUACGAGUACAUCAUUCUACUAAUUUUUUUUAUCAAUUUAGUCGUCUAAACUUUGUUAAUUUUAACAAAUAUACCAGUUUGUUACAUUUUCAUCUGAAUCCCCAUUAAAUUUGUAAACGUCACAAAACAUGUAAGUUUUCAUGUCCACAUAAAUGUUGACUAGACUUUCCACUAAGUAAUCAAUGUGUUAAUUCCUAAAUUUGGUCUCUCCUCUUUUACUCUCUUCCCAUAAUCCAAAUCCCGAAUUGAAUCAUAACACCUCUACCCAUAAAGCUAUCAAAUCUCAAGCUCUAGAAUAUUUUCGCAAAACAUGGGCUGGAGAUUUUUUUUGUAAGAACCGGAAAACUCCCUGAGAAGUACAAAAAAACAGUUAUGGGUAGACUGAAACCAAUCAGACGUAACGGAAUCAAUCAUUUAGAAAUCUAUAAAAAUAAAAAUGGGUGCGAACUUCAAACUCACGUAGAAAUAGACAUACAGUGGUGAAUAAUAUGUAUGAUCAAUUUGGGACAAAUGGGCUGGGCCAGUAAAAAGUUUGGCGUAAUAGUAAUAUGGUGUGACUGAAAUGAUAUGAUAUCCAUUCUUUUGGAUGGAAUGCGACGUUGGAAUGUUUGACUGUCCAUCUGGAUUGCAUUGAGGUAAGAAUGUUUGACGGGAAACCUCGUGAAUGUUUUAGGUUCCAAUUUUAAUAAUUUGUUUCUUUCAUAUAUGGUAAUCAAGUGAUGAGGAAAUUUUGGAUUUCAACUUUUUAUGUGCUGAAACUUUACUUGGCCCAUAUAAUAACUGCUGAUUAUCAUCCACUAUCAUUCAUAUGUGUAUUUACUUGUUCCCUAAUCCAAAACCCAACAAAGAGUCUGUUUACCUCCAAUCUCACAACACAACACCAACCUUAAUCCAGUGGAAUAUUCUCAUAACCAAGUGGGCUAACUGAACCGACCCACGUGGGCGGUUCCCCCAACCACCACCCAAAUACUGAACUAACCAAACCCCAGAUCCUCUCCUGCCUUGUCGGCCGGUCUAGCAAACGAAACCCAUUAUCUUAUUCAUCGCCUGUUACCUGCACGCGCGCUUCUUGGGCAUUGCAAUUUGCUACUACCUGACUAUCGACUGACACGUGUUUACUGUAGUUCCGUUGGACUGAGUUUCCGCCUCUUGUUUCUUUGCGGCCACCGGUAAAUGGGCUUUUCGGCCUCCGACCAACCCAACAUGGUCCUACCAAGUCGGCGGGCGACCUAGCUAUGGAACGAUGAAGUGAAAUUGGCAAUCACCUUAUCCGAACAAAUCUACCACACAGCACUAGUUCAUUUCAGCAAUCUUCGAGCACUCUUAGUCCGUUACUCUAAUGUAACUCGUUGGUUGACAUCUCACAGUUCGUGCAUCAACCGACUCAAAGGUGACAAAGAUAGUUAUGUGGAUGGAACACAGAGUUACAAAGCUAGACUGAAGUGGACUGACUCAAUAACAAAAGGACUAACCCAUGUUUAUUCUGUAUGCAUCUUCUUCUGCAGAGGACAAAGCCAAUCACUUGACGAGGGAAGCUAGAACCCUUCGAGGCGGGUCGAAGGAUUUCCGGGCAUGAAGAACAGCCCAGUUAUCUAUAAGAAGAGCAUCACCUUUCUUCCAAGGGAUGACAACACUCGACUCUUCUAGGAUAUUCAAACAAUCGUAGACGAUGUCACCAGGCAAUGGCGUCCCAUCUCCAAAAGUAACAGCCUUCUUUGGGUCAUUCCUCUCGUCUUCCCACCCAGUGUAUGCAGCCACCAUACUGUUAAACCAUAUCUUCCGAUUACUCCUAGUCUUGUCCGUCUUCACUCCCGGAAUCGGUCCCAUUACCGUCUUCACCCCGUCAUCCUCCAACCAUUCCAGUUUCAUUCCUAGCCUUGCAGCCCUGCCACAUACAAAAACAUUACUUCCUAAACGCUCGUCAAACAGCCAUAUUCAUACUUUCUCCUCAUCUUAUUACUCUAUCAAUGCUGCAUGUAAUUUCAACCCAAUCCAGUAUUCUUCUAUCAGAACUAAUCUUGAGAUAGCUUGGAAAGAAAACGGGAUGGGGAGAAAUAAUAAACAAACCUUUCCUGGGCUACAGCUUUGUCAUUGGUUAAGAAAGUGGAUUUCCAGCCACGGCCAAUUGGGGACAUAGGGUUGUCUUCCUCGCCCAAAACUCUGUUGUAAAUCAACCCGUGCUCCUCCAACCGGCGGACGAAUUCCGGGUACUUGUCUUUCAUCUUUUGGUACACGACGUGGCUAAGAACAAUUGGGGUCUCGCCGCCGCUUCCAGGCUCCACUUCGCAGAAGAAGAACAGUUUUGAUGGGAACUCCGGAACCUGGACACAAAAAUACACCACCGAACAGAUUAAAUUAUAGUAUUCCAAGUAUGAAAAAAUACCAAUUGGACUCCCAAUUUGAAUUCCAGAGAAGGAAUUGAAGUGUAACCCGACCUGGGCCAUCUCGUGGUGGAAAGGGAUUUUCUGGUCGGGAGGGGAUUCAUUGGCGGUGAACACACGGCCGACGACGUUUGUACGAGGAGCAGCUCCGCCGACGUAGGGGAGCUCCUGGUAGCCGAAGGAUUCGACGAAUUCGUUGAAGUGGGAAGCGGAGGUGAGAGGGAAUCCCCUGAAAAGAAUCGCCCCUGACUUGAGGAGGAGAGAUUCGAGGAAAGGCUUCUCGGAUUUUACGGCGGAAGUGAGGAUAUCUAACGUAGGAGUAGGAUCACAAUUUGGAGUGAGUAUGGCUGGGAAAGAGAUUGAAUCGAAUUGUUUCUGCUGCGAGAGUGUCACCUCGCUGAAUAGGGUCGCCGCCGUUGUCAUUUCUCCGAUGGCCGAUUCUUCCGGUUCUCUCAGCCACUCAUUAUUUAUUAUAUCUUCUGAAGAAGACGACAUGAGGCCCGGUCCACAAUGCAAUCGCUAAUAAUCCGGUUUAUAUUAUGAUGCAUGACCACUGAAUGUAGACAUGAUGCUAUACAAUAUUCACAAACAAAGAAAUAUAUAAGAACAAAUCAGCAGAUAAACUAACGUGGUACGAACAAAGGGUACGUAUGCGAUCUGGUUCUUCUUGUUCAUAGAUGCAGCAUCUGUAUGUAUGAUUCAUUGAGUUCCUGAUUGUCUAUUUCAUACCAAACUUGCAAAGGUGUUGUUCGAUUUGGAUUUGAGUCAAGUUCAAUGUGAAUUUUCUUUUCUAAUCAUCCAACAUUUUUUGGAACUACUUUAUCUUUGGGAGUGGCUGACGUAGAGAAACGAGUCAAUCAAACUCUUUUUCUCGAUUUUUUGUAUCGAAAUUCCAUUCAAUUCAAAUAUGGUAUCUAUUGCUCGUUAUCGAUACUAUCAUACUGACAUCACAAAAGAAUUUCAUUAUUCAUCCUAGCUUAUAACAUGUUUAACUUACACAACGGAAGAAGUGACGUCUUGAAACAAUAUGAUAUUCACUAUUCAGAAGGCAAACAAAUUGCACCCAAAUGGGAGUCUUGUCACGAUAAUUUAUGCAUGUAAAAUUGUCUCAAAAUUGGAACCAAAAUCACAUCUCAACGAUCUUGCUGAGUAGUUUCUUUAUUUAGUGAGAUAAUUUUGUAGAGACUCCUUUGAUCGUGGUGGACUUUAGAUUUGCACUGCCAAACUCUGGAUUCAUGUUUCUUUGCAGAUAUUUUCUUCCCCAAUCGUUGUCUUGUUUCUAGAUCCUUUCAUCCUGGCCACCAUAUUAAUCAUGCUACCAUGACAUGGACAUACUGCACUCGGCUAGCUAACAACCAAAAAUGGGCCUGUUCAUAGGCAUGGAAUGUGGACAUGAAUUUGGAAAUUUACUCAUCAUGAAUUGAUGGAGUCCACUCAUCUUGUAGUGUAACAGUAGCUGUUAACUUUUGGAAAAGUCAUGAACUCAUGAGAGGACAUACGAUUUUUUUACUCAACUGAACAUCGACUGUGAAGCACUACUGGGGACGAUAACCAUUCAUGUAUAUUAUUAUUUUAUUAUGGUGAAACAAAACUAAACACCACAGUAGCCCCAACCCCCCAACCCCAAGCAACCAACAAGACUUAUCAGCUACUUGCAGAGGGAAGCAAGAAUCUUUCUGGGGGGAUCAAAGGGAUUACGAGCAUGAAGCACAGCCCUAUUAUCCAACAACAAAACAUCACCUUUCUUCCAUGGUAUAGCAACGCUCUCCUCUUCCAAUAUCCUCUCGCAAUCUCUCACCACCUCCUCCGGCAAAAACCCUCCAUCCCCGAAAGUAACCGCCUGCCUCCGAUCAUUCCUCGCGUCAUCCCAAUACAAGUAAGCAUCCACCAACAUAUUAAACCAAGUCUUCUUCUUCUUCAUCUCCCCUUGGUCGUCAAUUACCUUCACUCCAGCCAUGGGUCCCAUCACCGUCUUCGCUCCUCCAUCCUCCGUCCACUCCAACCUCGUCCCCAGCUUCUCUGCUCUUUCCUCCGCCACGAUCUUGUCGUCCGUUAAAAAGGUUGAUUUCCACCCUCGACCGAUUGUCGACGAAGGAUCAUCUUCGUCCCCUACUAUCCUCGUGUAGAUGAGACCAUGCUCCUCCAGCUUCUCCACGAAUUCGGGGUACUUGUCCUUCAUCCUCUCGUACACUACAUGGCUCAGAACCAAAGGGGUCUCUCCCCGGCUUCCAGGCUCCACCUGUUAGAAAACCGAACAAAAAACAAUAAAGGCUACCGAUCUAAUUAAGUCGCGGACGAAGGAGCUCUCUUUAAAAACAUUCGCAACGCUGUUCCAAUUGCACACAACAAAACAACAAAUUAUCAACUGGUCAUCUCUGCUAACUCAUAAUUCUCCUAAUUCUACUAACUCAAGUCGAUUUGUGUCAAUUUCGUGUGUUUUUAGAGUUAGGCGUCUUCUUAGCUCGACUAUUCUUAAUAGCAUAUGCAUGAAAACUCGCUUCUUUGUGAAGGAUUAGUAAAACGUGUUUAAGAUAAUUUAAAAAUAAAGAUAUAAACAUAAAUCGUUUUACAUUUUUUUCCACUUUAACAAAGAUUCAUAAUUUUUUUUUAGAGAUUCAUAAAAUUUUAAAAAGAACAAUAUACAAUUUCAAAUCCACCCAACCUACUAAUUCGUUGGCUCGAUUAAUUCGACGAACAAGGACCAUGUAAUUUGAAGUUAUCCGAGUUCUCCCAUGUACAAAAAUGGGCAAGCAUAAAAAUUAGACCUUUAAAGGGAGAGAAGACUUUCUAUAAAGAAGUCUUUUCUCGGACAAAAUAUUACAAAUUAUUCACAUUUUUCCAACCAUACCUCGCAAAAAAAGAAGAGCUUUGUCGGGUAGACAGGCAGUUGGGACAUCUCAUGGUGGAAGGUGAUCUUGUGCUCGGACGGAGCGUCGUUAGCCGUGUACACGCGGCCGACAACGAUGUUUCUCGGAGCCGCCCCGCGGAUGUAAGGGAGCUCCUCGAAGUCGAAAGCUUCGACGACAUGGUUGAAGUCGGACGCCGAGUCCAAGGGGAGUCCUCUGAUGAGGACGGCUCCUGAUUUCUGGAGCAGUGAUUCGAUGAAGGGCUUCUGGGAUCGGAUUGCAGCGGCCACUUGAGUGAUGGAAGAAGGUAAGAAAGUUGGGGAGACGACGGAAGGGAAAGUGAUCGAAUCGAAUUGCUUCUGCUGUGAGACUUUGAUUUCCCUGAAGGCUAUUAAUGUUUCGUCCACCGUUGCGGCAGCCAUUGUUAAUAAGAGGAGGAAAAUGUUUUUAAAUGUUUGGUGGUGAAUAUUAGUGUUUGGAUGGGGAGGGGAGUAUAUAUAGGCAAUGUGAUGGUCUUGUUUUGUUGGAAUUUAGACAUAAGACAGACUAGAUACGUGUUCUUCUACUAAAUUAAGAAUCUUCGCAAACCAAUUUUGUAGUUUGCGAAUUAGACAAACAUGAAUGGCAAUUUCCUGGUAACGUUGUUUCUUAUGGUUUAUGUUUCUUUAAUAACUUUCUAGACGUUUUCAGUUAUGUCCGGUGCUAUGGUGUUCAAUUACAGGAUUAAUGAAACCACUCGUCUACAUCACUAGUACUGGCCAACACCGGACCUCUACCAGAAUUAAUACCGAUUUUGAUACAGUUUAAAGAAUGUUAAAAGUUAUAGAAAAAUGGUAUGGAUGUUCUUUAAUUUUAUUUGGCUAUUAUUUUUAAGGUUUAAUAUGAUGAAAUCUUAAAUUUUAAUUAUUUUUAAUAUGGAUGUUAAAUAUUAGUUAAUUUGAAUUUUUUUAAUUUUUAUGUCAAAAUGGAUCAACUUCGUGUGUUGUACUAUGAAAAUUUGACUAUUUACACAAGAAAAAUUCAAAAUUUCCAAAUCGGCUAAUAUUUGACAUACAUGUUUGAAAUGACUAAAAAUCAAGUUUCACUAUGAUAACCCUUGUAAAUUAAUGACCAAAUGANNNNNNNNNNNNNNNNNNNNNNNNNNNNNNNNNNNNNNNNNNNNNNNNNNNNNNNNNNNNNNNNNNNNNNNNNNNNNNNNNNNNNGACUUACUUUCUUCAUGCAUGUGGUGGAAAAUCGCUAGAAAUCCAAGUUAAAACUUGUGUAGUCGAAAGCACAUACAUCCUUACAAAUAACAACAAUCAAAACCCUUAAAAAAUAUUUUUUAAAACUUCAUUUGACUAUUAUUUUAAACGCCUAACAUGAUGAAACCUCAAUUUUUAGUCAUUCCCAACAUGCAUGUCAAUUAUUAGCUAAUUUGAAAUUUUGAAAAUUUUUAUGUCAAAAUUGAUAAAUUUCAGUGUGUUAUAUUAUGAAAGUUUGACUAUUUUGACAAGAAAAAUUCAAAACGGCUAAUAUUUGACCUACAUGUUGAAAAUGACUAAAAAAUUUAGUUUUACUAUGAUAGCCCCAGUAAGUAAUGGCUAAAUGAAGUUAAAAAUCAAAUUUACUUGGUGUUAUGUUAAUGUUGAAAAUUUUCAAAUUGACUUACUUUUUGCGUGUUGAGUCGUCGUUAUAGGAAUUGCCCUUUGAUAACUUCGAUUAUACACAAUUCUAUGUGAAUCAAAUCAUUUUACCAUACAUUUCAAUACGUACAAACAGUAAUCAAACACACGAGUCUGUAUGUUCAAGCAGCUCCGCAACGGAGCGCAGACAAACAACCUAGUUUAUAUGAAUUCGGGAUGAGGAAUGGAGAGACUUGAAACUCUCUCUCUCCUUUUAAUUUCAUUCGCUAUAAAUACACAGAGCCAGGCAAAAAUAUAUAUGAAAUCAGUGCUCGGUACAAAAAGCGGGGUCGCCCAGCCUCUCUAGAUUUUGCAUGGCGGUUUUUAUUAUUGUAUAAAUAAAAAUAUUGGCCUUAGAAUUCAAAAUAUCAGAAUAAAUUCAUCUUAUUACCAUCGAGCUCGUAACACUAACAAAUGAAUGCAGGCAGAAAUUUGAAAAAAUAUGAAAUGAGUUCAAAUUUAAAAAAUCUGGUUAAUUAGGGCAAAACCACAAUAACUAGCAAUAAGGUCGUUAGAGGUAGUAGGACUACUUACUUUUUUAAUCGAACCGUAGCCAUAGAAGAAACAAGUGAAGCUUCUACCUUCACUUUUUCUCUCGAAAGAUAUUUUUAACUACUAAUCAUUCGGAAAUCUCUCGUUUUACAGUAACGAUUACUUUGAUAUUUUAUUUUCAGUGCCACAUGAGCUGACACAUUAGCACUGGAGUUUAAUUUUUCCUUUACUUGUUAUAUAAAAAUUUCAUCAAUUUGGAUAGAAAUCACAACGAAAUUAUUUUAAAUUGCAUUUUUGUGUUUUUUUUAUAGUAUGGGUUAAAUUGGACAAUAUUUUGAUGAUUUUUUAUAGUAACAAGUAUUAGGCCUAGAGAUAAAAGAUACCCUUGAGUUCGAUGAUAGGAGCUCACCUCAAGUUUGGCUCGGCGGAACCGUAAAUUAUAAUAAUUUUUUGGGUCAAAUCGGUAAUAUCAUAUUUCAUGAAUCAAAUCCAACAUGAAGCUCUCAAGGAUUCCUAUCGAAGGUGCAGGACUCACAAACAAGGCUAACAUGGAUCGCGGGUAUUUGCAACAGCAAACACCUCAAUCAUUUCUCUGCAACAAAAGGACAUCCCAACAGGAUUCACCCGCACUAACAAGAGAAACAAUUCAAAACAAUAUCUAGCAAAAAACAUGAAAAAAAUGAAAAUAGGAACCAAAGUUCAGCCAAAACAAGAAGAAAAAAACACGAUUGAGAACGGCCACGCCUUGCCGUGUAGCUGGUGGCUAGUGAACAUAAAUUUCCCUUCCGUGAGGGUUUGUCCGACGCGACGAUGAUAUCAUCCCUUGGUCUUAAACUGCCGAUGAGGAGGUUCCAACUUUCUAGUUGUAAGUUCGAUUCGAUGCGACGGCUGGUGUAGAGAUCACGCGGGAUGUAUCGCUCGCAUGGGCAGAUACGACUGUGGAUCGACUUGUGGUCGGGAUGGAGGUUGUAUUGUUCUCGAGGUGGCUAGGAGUCAUACUGCCGGAGGGAGCCAAUGGUGAGAUGGAGUUUCCGGCAUCGAUGGUGAUGGAUGGUGUAGGAUUAGGAUUACAGCUAGGAAUUUGCAAGGAAGUCAUGAUUGGCUCUGACAAACUCUCUUACGUAAGAUAACAAUUUUAUACAAAAACGAAAAAAAUCGAGAAAAAUAAAGACGACUACGACAGCUAAGAUUUGACUCUCAUUGAAAGCUUUUCCCCACUCUCUCGUAAAUUAUAAUAUUUAUGUACAUAACAAUAAUAUAACCAUUUAAUUCCAUGAACAUUUUAUGGGCUGAGUUUUAUGGGCCGAGUCAAUGGUUAGUUGACGAGGUGGGCCAAUAUUUUACGGGAAGGUAUCCCUUUCUAAUAGAUAGAAAAGCCCAACUUCCUACGUUUAGUCGUCAUUGCAAAAUCCGAGUUUGGGCAAGAAAUGCUUGUUAUAUCCCCCGCCCGUCCAGAAAUUCAAAAUUCUUUCUUCCCCGAGGUUGAAAAGUCCAGAGAUGUCGAGAAACGAAGCUACUAGUGCCAAACCGAGUUCCACGAGAAGGCCAUUACGAGAGCUAUCGAAUAUCCACAGCAGCUUCGGCGCCGGAGGCGGUGACAGUGUCACCUGUGUCGGAAACAGAGGAGUUCCGGUCUGCAAGUCGAUGGUGGUAAAAAAGAUCGCACCGCGAAGUUCAACUUGUAUUGAAGAAAUGAAAGAAGACGAUGACGAUUGUCUUGAUCGUCUGUUGGCCGUCCACUCCGAUCUCUCCUCCCUCACUCGCCAGGUAAGAUGAUGGUGCUGUUUAGGGCUUUUACAGAUUGAAAUUAAUUUCUAGGGCUUUGUUUGGUGAACUUUAACGGACAGUUUCUCCAAUAUUGGCGCUAGAAUCCUCCAUUUGUGUAUAUGAAUAUGGAAGUUCCUAGGCUUAGCGAUUUUCCAGUCUUCAGAAAGAGUCCACCCAGUAGUGAUGAGUUAGUGAACUUGUUUUGCAACCAUUUUAGAUUGAAUCGACAAUCGUUACUAGGGGUUUGAACUUCGAUGGAAAGAGCUUUCGCGUCUUCGUGCUGGAUUCCUCCAAUAAUUGUUAGGUUGUUACGAAUGUUAUGUCAUUUCAGUCAAUCGAAUUCAAUAAUUUACAGUGCAGAGUCAAUUUAUAAACAGAUUGACGAUCUUGUUGCGCGAACAUUCAAGCUGAAAUCUGCUGGUAAAGAUGGACGGCGAGAAAUUGAAUCGUUUUCUCAUUUUUUAUCCGAUACGCUUUCUUCUUUCAAGGUUAGUACUCUCUUAACUUGAAUUCAUAGGGAUUUUGUCUAUGCACACAUUAUUAAGUGGGAUUUCUUUGUGUAAUUAUGACAGCCUUGGGUGUCAAGAUUUGAGAAGGCACUCGCCACUCCUAGCUUGGAGAUGGAGAAUCAGGUACAAGAAACUCCGGCACAGAAACCCGCUUCUGCUGUAAACGAAGGAGGUUUGGAAAAUGGAAGUCCAGAGGAAAGCGAGAUGGACACUUUGAUCUCUCCUUCCCCUCUUGUUUCCUGGCGAAAAGAUUGCAACAUUGACAGGAGCCGGCAGUUGUUUCUCCUUACACCUCUCCCAAUGUCAAAAACAUUAUCAAUCAAACGACGGGAGUUGUCUGCAAGAGUAAUGAAAAACAUGGUUCCUGGAUCCAGAACGGAGUCGUCAUCAUUUUUGGCAAUCUCUAGAGACGACAAUGAUGAUUUGCUUGAAGGCAUGAAGAUGAACACAACUCCAAGUAAGCCUUGUGGGGAUUCUGUUGCCACAGAAGUGAAAAAUAACAAUGAGUGUGGGUUAGACUUUUCCACACCCAUGACUACUCCAAAGAGAGACCACCCUUCCAUGAUGGUUAUGACUCCGUGCUUAAAGAUGUCCCCUCCAAAAUCUUGCUUUUUGCUUGAGCCAAUAGCUGAGAUGCCUCACAAUAUCAAUUGCUGCAAUCGACAAUCGACUCCGUACCCAGUUGGCAUACAUUCACAGAUGUCGGAGCCUGAAUCUUCUGGAAGUGAAGGUUACGAGGAUCUGGGGGUUAGGUACCCUGAACUACUGGGUAUUCAGUGGGCUUGCAAAUCUGGAAUGGGAAACAAAGAUUUGGAGAAGUCACCAGACUGGAACUUUUCUCCUCCAAAAACUUGUGUUCUGUUGCAACCUUCUGAUGAGAAUUCAAUGGUUGAUGUCCAUGCCAUUGACGUCAACUUCCCACCAAACCAAGUGCAAAAAGAUGAUGCUCAAGUCCAAAGACCUCUCCAUCAAGGUGACCAUAGUUUCUUACUGUUAGAUCUUCUCAAUCUCAAUUUAAAGCAUCAUGAUUGUAAUAGUUUGAAGAAUUGUUUCCUUGUGAACAGAGCCUGCAGGCAGUAACUUUGAGAAAGUGGUAAGCACUCCCGCAUGGAAAGAUGUUGAAAGCACAGUAAGAAGAGGAGGUAAGAAUCCCGGAGAGAACACUCUGAAAAGGGAGCUGUGGACUAAGUUCGAAGCACUCACCACUUGUGGAGUUGGAUUGAAUGCCUCUGCAAUAGUAGGUAGCUCAGGGAAAGGAUUUAUGGAUAUGCUUGAUGAAGUUUCCCGUGAAGAGCAAACCAGAGUGGAUACAAGUUGAAGAUGAGAUGACAUUCUCCUUCUCAUACGGUUGGUUGGAUUUUGGAACCAUUCAAAGCCUUAAGUGUGUAACUGAUUAGUAGAGGGAAAAUGGGUAUUGGGGACUGGGUACAGGGCAGUCGAGCUGAAAAUCCACCCACACCCCUGCAGUUUAACGUGAGAAUACUAGUUUGCUCAUUCGCGCUCUGCUUUGGAGCUGAUUGAACAUAUCGAUUCGUAUGUUUUAUUAAUGUUUGUACGUGUUAAAAUGUAUCGUAAAACAAUUUAGUUUCCACAGAAUUGUGUAUCAUCGAAGCUAACAAAACGCAAUUCAUGUAACGAUAGCUCAACAUGCAGAGCCAAUUUGAAAAUUAUUGAACAAUGACAUAACACGAAAUAAAAUUGAUUUUUGAUGUCAUUUGACUAUUAUUUAUAGGGGUUGUAAUAAUAAAAUUUGAUUUUUUGAUCAUUUUCAACAUACAUGCAUGUCAAAUAUUAAUCGAUUUGAAAAUUUUAAAUUUUUCUUGUAAAAAUGAUCAAAUUCCAUAGUAUAUAACACACGAAAAUUGACAAAUUCUAACAAAAAAAUAAAAAAUGCUCAAAUUAAUUAAUAUUUAAUAUAUAAAUUGAAAAUAGUUAAAAAUUGAGAUUUAAUCAUAACUAAAUAAAAUAAUAAUAAUUUUGAUCAAUGUUGUCAAAUCCGGCACGGCCGGACAGCCCGCCAAAACAGUAGCCCGUUACACAAAGCGGGCCGGGAAGUCCACAAACCCAGAAAAGCAUGACCCGCGGGCGGCACCGGGUUUCUGUCACAAAAUCCGUUCGGCCCGUCCAAAAACCCAUUGAGAACCGGCCCAAAAUCCGUUCGGUAAAGAAAAUUUGACCGGUUAAAUUAGAGAAUGAAAAAUAACGGAAAUCAAUUAAAUGCACACAUUUUUACUUCUUUUCAACUUCUACCUCUUGGAAAAUGAAGUAAUAAUUUAUUCAUUCAAUCUUCCUUUAAUCCUCUCAUUCUCCUGAUUUCGUGUAGAGUCUGUUGACGUAUUAGUUCUACGAUGAUAUAUUUUACUACAUAGUAUUGUUCUUUUAAUUAGAGAAACUAAUUUUCUUAUAGUUUGAUAUCUAUUUUAUUUAUUUUAUAAGUACCGGGUAUAUUUAAACGGUUUAUUUUUGGUUAAUCAUUGAUUUUUCAACCUUUUUUUAUUCGGUUCGACUCAUCGAGCUUGAUUUGAAAACAUGAUUUUAAUUGUUGUUGUUAGUGGGGAUGUACGCGCUUUCAAUUGUUUUAGUUUCCACCACAUAUAAACAAAAAAUUUAGCUUCCCACCAAACACUAUUAAUUCAAUAAUAAUUUAUAUUCACUUUUUAUAAAUAAAAGUAGUCACGCCGCCACUUUAUAACAGUUAUAAUCUAAUAACUAGUCACAGCGAAUUUAUAACUAGGUAAUUCACUCUACUACAGAGGGAACAAAAAGCCAACCGCAACAUGAAAGAAAAACCCAUAAAAACGACAUGCAUCUGGCCCUUGGUGACAUAUAUUGUUGGUGCAAGUAGCUAGAACACCACGUACGUACAGCUCCUGAAUUGUCAAGUCACUUUGGGCGGCAUGCUGUCUGAGUAGGUCCGGCUUGCCUUGCCAGCUGAACAACACAGCCAACCACUUAUAUAAUUAGAGAUGAAUACUGUACAAAGAUACUAGUAGCUUGUGCGAAGAUACAUUCAUGAGCAAUCAAUCAAUAAAGGUAAAGAAGAAUCAGACCUGAAAAUAAGUCUCGAGUUUCUUCCUGAGUGUUGUAUAUUCUUUCUUCACCUGCUGGAAUGUCCUUAUGCAUCUGUAAACAAGUGGACCAUGCAUGCAUCUUAGUUAACUAUCAUAUACAAUUCGAAAACAGAGGAUGGAUGACUGCACUGCAUGGGUUUGUAAUUAACUGGACAUUAUCGGUACGUAUUAGGAAGAUGAAUAUGAACUUAUGCAUAUGAAGUUAUUCUUUCACCUUUUGUUUCCAAAAAUAGGUAUGCGAAAAUAUCAAAAGGAGAAAGAAUAAAUAGUAUGGAGGAUGUGCAAAAGGCAGAGUAUCGGUAUUGCGCCCAGUUGGUUAAAUUAAUGUGAAAAUCUUAACAAAAGAUGACGUACCCUUCUCCAUUUCCUGCUCUGCAAUAUUCCCUAAACACAGCGCACUCUGCUUUCACCCUGUUGGCUCCAAUGCUGCCCAAUUCAACAAAUUAAUUAAGACUCAGUAAUUAAGAUUUUAUUGUCCAACAGCCACCAGUAGGCAGUAGCAAACAAUAUUGUCAAUUACCUGGAGCUGCUUCCUUUGAACUGAUGCAUGCAGGUAUCCAGCUUGUUGAAAUCAAGGGGUCUUUUCUCCAGAAGUUGCUCAAUGCCGAACACAAGUCUGGCCGAAUCUCUGUAAUACAAUGUCACAACUUCCUCCACGAAAUUUGGGUUAGCAUCGUCCUUCAGUUCUUCCAGCUGGGCCAACUGUUCUUCAUCAAGAUAUCCCUGCUCAAAUAGAGACUGCUUCAUCAUGGCGACUUGCCUGUGUGACUGGCUUCUGUCCAUUUUCUGGAAAUAUAAGCUAAUUAGAGGAUUCAACAAAAGUAAUGGACGAUCGAGUCACUGAUGAGUUAUAACAUGAUGAGGGGGUGGGUGGGGCUAUAUAUAGUAGUGGGGGAAAGGAUGAGAGACUGUAAUGUUAAUGCAAAGUAUGUAAGUGUAUGUAGUGUGAAAGUGAAAGAAGUAAUAAUACAAUGAUGCAUGGAAACCAAUAUUGCAUAAUUUGAGAGAGACAGAAAUGACAUUUCACUAGAUGUGAUGUGGGUAUUAGGAGGAGGUGGAAUUCUGAUUCUGCCCUCCAAAAAGGUAGAGAGCAAACCAAAACAAGAAUCUAAUGUGGUACGUCUUUUUUUAAGUUUAUGUCAAAUCUCAAACAAUACCGAGUUUUUUUUCUAAAAUGAUUUGUAAAAGUGGUUAGGAUUGGAGAAUUGAGGUAAUUGUCGAGUUGUUGAUUUAAAUCGUGUAUUCGAGUUCUCUUUUAUAGGCGCUUCAUCGUAAGACGUAUGGAAAGAGUUAGUAAGAGGAUGUUUACGAGGGAGUCAAAGCAUGUGAGAGAUUAUAUCAGAGACAAAGAAGUAUUGGAGGUGCCUAUAACGUAUGGACAUAAUGCAGAUAAACUAGAGAGAGUGUCGAGACUUUAGACAUAUAGAUAUCCAAUUUUCUUAUAUAGCCCCUUGGAAAUAGAGUCGAGUUGCAACAUGUCGUAAAGCUAAUUAAUUCAUUGCGUAGAAAUGGAGAAUCGAAGCCACAUAAAAAUAGGAUAUGAUAUGAUGGAAGAGUGACCAAAAGUGGAAUCAAUCAAAGUAAUUGUACGGACAAAGGCUUAAUAUUAAACAUCAUCACCCAUCCAUCAAUUUCUCUAGAAACUAAGCUAUAAUGUUUUGUAACAAAAGGUAUAUACUACAUAAUAUUUAAUGGAAGGUGCUUGGGAGAAUGGACAUUUUUUUUCACUAUAAAGACAAAUGUAUUUUAUAAUUUAGAGGAGUCAAAUCACUUAACCAACUGUUCCACAACCUCACACAAAACAAAACGUUUAUCCACAAUCCAUAUGUUCUCUUCAAAAAAAAAUUUAGUAUAUCAUAGCAAAAUAAAUAGUAGAUCGAUAAUGAAUUAUAAUUAUAAAUCUAUUGUUGUUUCGCCCCCUAAGUUUGUGCCGAUAUUAAAUAAUAAGCGCGCUUCGAGGCCAUCUUCAAAAAGAAACUAAGUAUAUAAAAUUAGUGGAUAUGCUUUAUAUGAGAAAAAUUGUAAUAAGAUGAUUUCUUCCCUGGAAAUACAGGAAGAACAAAGAGCAAAAAGACAAGUGAGGGCUUGCCAAAAAUAGAAGGUGCGAAUGGCAAGUCACUAAUAAAAGAAGGAAACUAUGAAAGAAAUAUAAUAAUAAUAAUAAUAAAAAUAAAAGUCUAAGAAAAUAGUAAAAGAGAAUAUUAAUUCCCAGUUGUGCAGUAAUAUUAAUUGCCAUUUAAUAAAAUUGAGAACAUUAUAUUAUAUUUGAGGGCUCCCUCAUAGAGUGGCCCACGUCAGCUCGUCUGGCAUCUCUCUUACACUACUGUAAAAUUUAAGCAAAGCAGACUAGUUAUUCGAUGAGAGGAAGUGGGAUUUAUUCGAUGGUCUGCUGCAUGCAACUCAGUAAUGUGUGUUCUGGUUGCUCAAUUAGGCAAAACGUGUGUCUCUCUGUGUGUGUGUGCUGUCACAUCUUUCCUGAAACCAUGCAGUAACAAAAGCUAGCUGAUCGAUUGAUUGGUGGGAUGGGAUCAGAAUAAGAACAACAACUUUUGUGUUGUUUUCAAGACAUGGCAUCGACUAUGAUAUGAUUGAUUCUCUUCUCUAAUCAUUGCCUCCUAUCCCCCCCAAUUCCCCCACCCUGUACAGUCAUCAAUCCCCAGCAACACCAGCAAUGUCUAUACAGCGACAAAAUUAUAGAGGCAUAAUGAGCAUUGGUUGCAGGAAAUAUCGUUCGGAUUUCCCCCAAGGGAUGCAGAAGGAAAUAUCUAAUAAUAUCUGAAAACCACAUCGAUUUUUGAAAAUUGAUCGGGAAACUCUUUCAGUGUCGGAAACAAUCGUGGCUGGUGAUCAUGCGAUUGGAACUGGUUGAAUUCUCAUGCAACAAAAGUAUUUAGUCACCAUGAUCAUAUCUUGGAUCAUGUGGAUCCAAAGGUCUAGAUUGGUAUGAGUUUGAGAAAAAAUCAAUAGAAAGUAGAAGGAAAUAUCUAAUAAAUAAAAUCUGAAAAGAAGAAUAUGGUCACGUGAACUAUUGCAGGCAGCAUAUACGUAGCAACAGCAGUAGAUUGAAGAACAAGAAAGGAACAGCGGGGUUGUAAUCGAUCCCUUCUUUUCGAAGGAGAUAAGUAAUGUUAGCUUAGCUCAAGGCUCGCCACAUCAACAGUAUUAUCUGGAAGCAUUAUCAGUACUGACUGGACCAUGCUGUUCUAAAAUAAAAUAAAAAUCUAAACUUUUUGUUGUUUCCCCUCAUCAUCAAUCAAGAAUACGAAUAAAACAGAAAAAAAAUCAUCACUUGUGUAGUUGUGUGUAGCAGUACGUAGAGUUGUAAGCAGGUAAAGGCUUUAAGGGUUGCUCUUUCUCAUCAUGUGCCCUUUUCAGAUAGAUUCUCCUCCUCUCACUGCAUCAAUUCUCUCUGCUUCUACCAUACAAAGCAUUUUGAUUUGGUGCCUGAAAAGGCAAAUGCUCAAUGAUGAUCACAGAGCCAAUUAAUGUUAGCGAUAUCAAACAAAAAGAACAAAAUUAAGGGUAUUGGCACUCAUAAACAAGGGCACAAAGUAUUGACACCAUAACAUACCCCAACAUGUUAACUAAUUACAAUAAGUACGAAACUGUUGUCAAACUAUGGUGUCAAAUAAAAGUGAAGGUCAACUCUGAAGUCUACAAGUACUUAAAACGUGAAGUGCAGAGAAGAGGGUUGCAUAGGCUCCAAAAACAAGGUUCAUUAAGGGAAAGGUAAAGAAAUCAUCCAUUUAAACCCAAGUUACAGUUACAACUUACAAAGAAUAAACUUCCCAUGAAAUCACCAUUAUCUUCCUUAUCUAAGUAAAAUAAUUUUCAUAUAUAACAUGUGUGCAAGGAAGAAACAUAAUCUUUACAGCAGGGGGGGGGGGGGGGG